Molecule: unclassified non-coding RNA, 320 nt
Filed under: plant metagenome
Description: partial contains 5.8S ribosomal RNA, internal transcribed spacer 2, and large subunit ribosomal RNA
Rfam family: 5.8S ribosomal RNA (bases 1-105)
Source: RNAcentral
GAAAUCCGAUAAGUAAUGUGAAUUGCAGAAUUCAGUGAAUCAUCGAAUCUUUGAACGCACAUUGCGCCCGCCAGUAUUCUGGCGGGCAUGCCUGUUCGAGCGUCAUUACAACCCUCAGGCCCCCGGGCCUGGCGUUGGGGAUCGGCGGAAGCCCCCUGCGGGCACAACGCCGUCCCCCAAAUACAGUGGCGGUCCCGCCGCAGCUUCCAUUGCGUAGUAGCUAACACCUCGCAACUGGAGAGCGGCGCGGCCACGCCGUAAAACACCCAACUUCUGAAUGUUGACCUCGAAUCAGGUAGGAAUACCCGCUGAACUUAAGC